Molecule: ribosomal RNA, 601 nt
Filed under: Acinetobacter baumannii
Lineage: Bacteria; Pseudomonadati; Pseudomonadota; Gammaproteobacteria; Moraxellales; Moraxellaceae
Description: bacterial SSU rRNA
Rfam family: Bacterial small subunit ribosomal RNA
Source: RNAcentral
UAACUGAAGAGUUUGAUCAUGGCUCAGAUUGAACGCUGGCGGCAGGCUUAACACAUGCAAGUCGAGCGGGGGAAGGUAGCUUGCUACCGGACCUAGCGGCGGACGGGUGAGUAAUGCUUAGGAAUCUGCCUAUUAGUGGGGGACAACAUCUCGAAAGGGAUGCUAAUACCGCAUACGUCCUACGGGAGAAAGCAGGGGAUCUUCGGACCUUGCGCUAAUAGAUGAGCCUAAGUCGGAUUAGCUAGUUGGUGGGGUAAAGGCCUACCAAGGCGACGAUCUGUAGCGGGUCUGAGAGGAUGAUCCGCCACACUGGGACUGAGACACGGCCCAGACUCCUACGGGAGGCAGCAGUGGGGAAUAUUGGACAAUGGGGGGAACCCUGAUCCAGCCAUGCCGCGUGUGUGAAGAAGGCCUUAUGGUUGUAAAGCACUUUAAGCGAGGAGGAGGCUACUUUAGUUAAUACCUAGGGAUAGUGGACGUUACUCGCAGAAUAAGCACCGGCUAACUCUGUGCCAGCAGCCGCGGUAAUACAGAGGGUGCGAGCGUUAAUCGGAUUUACUGGGCGUAAAGCGUGCGUAGGCGGCUUAUUAAGUCGGAUGUG